Molecule: ribosomal RNA, 1372 nt
Filed under: uncultured bacterium
Lineage: Bacteria
Description: bacterial SSU rRNA
Rfam family: Bacterial small subunit ribosomal RNA
Source: RNAcentral
ACGAACGCUGGCGGCGUACUUAACACAUGCAAGUCGGACGAGAAAGGAGACUUCGGUCUCUGAGUACAGUGGCGCACGGGUGCGUUACACGUAAGUAAUCUACCCCCGAACUCUGGGAUAACCCUCCGAAAGGAGGGCUAAUACUGGAUAGGGUCCCCGAGGUGUAGGCCGCGGGGGGAAAACGGGCCUCUGUUUCAUGCUCGUGGCUUGGGAUGAGCUUGCGGCCCAUUAGCUGGUUGGUAGGGUAACGGCCUACCAAGGCAACGAUGGGUAGCUGGUCUGAGAGGAUGAUCAGCCACACCGGCACUGAGACACGGGCCAGACUCCUACGGGAGGCAGCAGUGGGGAAUUUUGCGCAAUGGGCGAAAGCCUGACGCAGUAACGCCGCGUGGAGGAUGAAGGCCUUCGGGUUGUAAACUCCUGUCAGGAGGAACGACGGGGAAAGGGUGAUAAAUCCUUUCCUCCAGACGGUACCUCCAAAGGAAGCCCCGGCUAAUUCCGUGCCAGCAGCCGCGGUAAUACGGAGGUGGCAAGCGUUGUUCGGAAUUACUGGGCGUAAAGGGCGCGUAGGCGGCAAGGCAAGUCAGAUGUGAAAGCCCCGGGCUUAACUCGGGAAUUGCAUCUGAAACUGCUGUGCUUGAGUUCUGGAGGGGGUAGUGGAAUUCCCAGUGUAGCGGUGAAAUGCGUAGAUAUUGGGAGGAACACCUGCGGCGAAGGCGGCUACCUGGACAGAAACUGACGCUGAGGCGCGAAAGCUAGGGGAGCGAACGGGAUUAGAUACCCCGGUAGUCCUAGCCGUAAACGAUGGGCACUUGGUGUUGGGGGUAUUGAGUCCCUCAGUGCCGGAGUUAACACGUUAAGUGCCCCGCCUGGGGAGUACGGUCGCAAGACUGAAACUCAAAGGAAUUGACGGGGGCCCGCACAAGCGGUGGAGCAUGUGGUUCAAUUCGACGCAACGCGAAGAACCUUACCGGGGCUCGAACGGUAACUGCAACCUGUGGAAACAUAGGGUUCUCUUCGGAGACGGUUACCGAGGUGCUGCAUGGCUGUCGUCAGCUCGUGUCGUGAGAUGUUGGGUUAAGUCCCGCAACGAGCGCAACCCUUGCCCUUAGUUGCUAACAGGUCAAGCUGAGCACCCUAGGGGAACUGUCGGCGAAAAGCCGGAGGAAGGUGGGGAUGACGUCAAGUCCUCAUGGCCCUUACGUCCCGGGCUACACACGUGCUACAAUGGUCGGUACAAAGGGUCGCCAACCCGCGAGGGGGAGCUAAUCUCAAAAAACCGAUCUCAGUUCGGAUUGCAGUCUGCAACUCGACUGCAUGAAGGCGGAAUCGCUAGUAAUCGCAGAUCAGCAUGCUGCGGUGAAUACGUUCC